UAGGGAAUCUUCGGCAAUGGACGAAAGUCUGACCGAGCAACGCCGCGUGAGUGAAGAAGGUUUUCGGAUCGUAAAACUCUGUUGUUAGAGAAGAACAAGGACGUUAGUAACUGAACGUCCCCUGACGGUAUCUAACCAGAAAGCCACGGCUAACUACGUGCCAGCAGCCGCGGUAAUACGUAGGUGGCAAGCGUUGUCCGGAUUUCUUGGGCGUAAAGCGAGCGCAGGCGGUUUCUUAAGUCUGAGAUGAAAGCCCCCGGCUCAACCGGGGAGGGUCAGUGGAAACUGGGAGACAUGAGUGCAGAAGAGGAGAGUGGAAUUCCAUGAGUAGCGGUGAAAUGCGUAGAUAUAUGGAGGAACACCAGUGGCGAAGGCGGCUCGCUGGUCUGUAACUGACGCUGAGGCUCGAAAGCGUGGGGAGCAAACAGG
RNAcentral lists this ribosomal RNA (429 nucleotides) under Gemmatimonadota bacterium. RNAcentral's name for it is "Gemmatimonadetes bacterium partial 16S ribosomal RNA". It matches the Rfam family "Bacterial small subunit ribosomal RNA", at positions 355 to 776 of the family's 1533-position model. Lineage: Bacteria; Pseudomonadati; Gemmatimonadota. The record is from RNAcentral.